Long non-coding RNA from Suncus etruscus (white-toothed pygmy shrew), 597 nucleotides. RefSeq lists it as uncharacterized. The transcript is spliced from 2 exons. The record is from RefSeq and is a predicted model, not a curated record. NCBI's taxonomy places the organism in Eukaryota, Metazoa, Chordata, Mammalia, Eulipotyphla, Soricidae.
ACAACUGGCCCACCCAAAUUUGACCCACAGAACCACAUUUGAUUCCCCUGCACCUGCCAGGAGUGAUUCAUGAGCACAGAGCCAGGAGUGAGCCCUGAGCAUGGCUGGGUGUGGCCCCCAAAUCAAAAAUAAAAUCCUAUGACAUAAAAAAGAAAAAAUUUAUUAUGUGUUUAAUAUUUGCCCUAAGCAAUAAUAAAUACAUUUCAAAGGCUACCUUUCAAAAGUUAAAAACAUGACUCAUGACAGCCUGAAGAGAUAGCCCAGGGGUUAAAGGUGCUUACUUGUGUUGUAUGUGGCCAACCUAGGUUUGAUCCCCAGCACUCCACUUGGCUCCCUGACCACUGCCAGGAGUGAGCCCUAAUAAACACAGACAGGUGUGGCCCCAAAACAAAACAAACCAGCCAAACUGAGGAUGUCCUGAAAAACAGGACACAGGAACCAUGACUUUGAUGUCACUGAAGAGGCUCAUUUGCUGCUCCACUGGAUAUGAGCCUGCAGAUGACAUGUCAUUUUGAGGGUGCGCCCAGGUUAGGGAUAGCAAGUUCAAACUCCAAAGUCUUGACAGUUGCUAUUAGGCAUUGGCAUGUCAAAGGUCAA